Molecule: ribosomal RNA, 253 nt
Filed under: uncultured bacterium
Lineage: Bacteria
Description: partial 16S ribosomal RNA
Rfam family: Bacterial small subunit ribosomal RNA
Source: RNAcentral
UACGUAGGGGGCUAGCGUUGUCCGGAAUCAUUGGGCGUAAAGCGCGUGUAGGCGGCUCGGUAAGUCCGCUGUGAAAGUCGGGGGCUCAACCCUCGAAUGCCGGUGGAUACUGUCGGGCUAGAGUGCGGAAGAGGCGAGUGGAAUUCCUGGUGUAGCGGUGGAAUGCGCAGAUAUCAGGAGGAACACCAAUAGCGAAGGCAGCUCGCUGGGACGGUACUGACGCUAAGGCGCGAAAGCGUGGGGAGCGAACAGG